CGUGAUCACUGUAACGCCCUGAGUGUUGCGGAUGUUUCGCAGAAGUUGACCGAACUUGAUUAUUUAGAGGAAGUAAAAGUCGUAACAAGGUUUCCGUAGGUGAACCUGCNGAANGAUCANUAAAGUUCUCCUUUCAAGUUAUAAACAAAAACACAAUAUAUAAAAUACUUAUAUUGUAAAAUUAUGGCAAAUGCCAAAAAGAAACAAAAUAACAAUAAUAAAAAUGUUUAUUAUUGUAUCGCCUCCUAGGCAAAAAAGUAUANUAUAAAGUGUUUGUGUGUGUUACACAUUACACAAAAAUUGACUUAUUUAUAUAAAAUUUGUAAAAACUGAAAUUGUGUGGACGUUAUACAAAAUUAAUUUGUAUAGAAAANGUCUAAAAAUUUGAAAUACAUAAAAUUAUAGUUGUACUUGUAUAAAAUUGAAAAGUAAUUUUUUAUAUAAGUCAAUCAUUGUUCGUUUUUUAAGAACUUGAGACAUUCGCAACAAAAAUUUUAUGUUUUAGUUAUAAAAGAGAAGAAUAAUAAGCAAAAAUUAUUGAAGGAAUUGAUAUAUGCCAAUUUG
Molecule: ribosomal RNA, 564 nt
Filed under: Belvosia sp. Woodley04A
Lineage: Eukaryota; Metazoa; Arthropoda; Insecta; Diptera; Tachinidae
Description: partial ribosomal RNA
Rfam family: Eukaryotic small subunit ribosomal RNA (bases 1-122)
Source: RNAcentral